Molecule: ribosomal RNA, 2930 nt
Filed under: Escherichia coli
Lineage: Bacteria; Pseudomonadati; Pseudomonadota; Gammaproteobacteria; Enterobacterales; Enterobacteriaceae
Description: bacterial LSU rRNA
Rfam family: Bacterial large subunit ribosomal RNA
Source: RNAcentral
GGGUUGUGAGGUUAAGCGACUAAGCGUACACGGUGGAUGCCCUGGCAGUCAGAGGCGAUGAAGGACGUGCUAAUCUGCGAUAAGCGUCGGUAAGGUGAUAUGAACCGUUAUAACCGGCGAUUUCCGAAUGGGGAAACCCAGUGUGUUUCGACACACUAUCAUUAACUGAAUCCAUAGGUUAAUGAGGCGAACCGGGGGAACUGAAACAUCUAAGUACCCCGAGGAAAAGAAAUCAACCGAGAUUCCCCCAGUAGCGGCGAGCGAACGGGGAGCAGCCCAGAGCCUGAAUCAGUGUGUGUGUUAGUGGAAGCGUCUGGAAAGGCGCGCGAUACAGGGUGACAGCCCCGUACACAAAAAUGCACAUAUUGUGAGCUCGAUGAGUAGGGCGGGACACGUGGUAUCCUGUCUGAAUAUGGGGGGACCAUCCUCCAAGGCUAAAUACUCCUGACUGACCGAUAGUGAACCAGUACCGUGAGGGAAAGGCGAAAAGAACCCCGGCGAGGGGAGUGAAAAAGAACCUGAAACCGUGUACGUACAAGCAGUGGGAGCACGCUUAGGCGUGUGACUGCGUACCUUUUGUAUAAUGGGUCAGCGACUUAUAUUCUGUAGCAAGGUUAACCGAAUAGGGGAGCCGAAGGGAAACCGAGUCUUAACUGGGCGUUAAGUUGCAGGGUAUAGACCCGAAACCCGGUGAUCUAGCCAUGGGCAGGUUGAAGGUUGGGUAACACUAACUGGAGGACCGAACCGACUAAUGUUGAAAAAUUAGCGGAUGACUUGUGGCUGGGGGUGAAAGGCCAAUCAAACCGGGAGAUAGCUGGUUCUCCCCGAAAGCUAUUUAGGUAGCGCCUCGUGAAUUCAUCUCCGGGGGUAGAGCACUGUUUCGGCAAGGGGGUCAUCCCGACUUACCAACCCGAUGCAAACUGCGAAUACCGGAGAAUGUUAUCACGGGAGACACACGGCGGGUGCUAACGUCCGUCGUGAAGAGGGAAACAACCCAGACCGCCAGCUAAGGUCCCAAAGUCAUGGUUAAGUGGGAAACGAUGUGGGAAGGCCCAGACAGCCAGGAUGUUGGCUUAGAAGCAGCCAUCAUUUAAAGAAAGCGUAAUAGCUCACUGGUCGAGUCGGCCUGCGCGGAAGAUGUAACGGGGCUAAACCAUGCACCGAAGCUGCGGCAGCGACGCUUAUGCGUUGUUGGGUAGGGGAGCGUUCUGUAAGCCUGUGAAGGUGUGCUGUGAGGCAUGCUGGAGGUAUCAGAAGUGCGAAUGCUGACAUAAGUAACGAUAAAGCGGGUGAAAAGCCCGCUCGCCGGAAGACCAAGGGUUCCUGUCCAACGUUAAUCGGGGCAGGGUGAGUCGACCCCUAAGGCGAGGCCGAAAGGCGUAGUCGAUGGGAAACAGGUUAAUAUUCCUGUACUUGGUGUUACUGCGAAGGGGGGACGGAGAAGGCUAUGUUGGCCGGGCGACGGUUGUCCCGGUUUAAGCGUGUAGGCUGGUUUUCCAGGCAAAUCCGGAAAAUCAAGGCUGAGGCGUGAUGACGAGGCACUACGGUGCUGAAGCAACAAAUGCCCUGCUUCCAGGAAAAGCCUCUAAGCAUCAGGUAACAUCAAAUCGUACCCCAAACCGACACAGGUGGUCAGGUAGAGAAUACCAAGGCGCUUGAGAGAACUCGGGUGAAGGAACUAGGCAAAAUGGUGCCGUAACUUCGGGAGAAGGCACGCUGAUAUGUAGGUGAAGUCCCUCGCGGAUGGAGUUGAAAUCAGUCGAAGAUACCAGCUGGCUGCAACUGUUUAUUAAAAACACAGCACUGUGCAAACACGAAAGUGGACGUAUACGGUGUGACGCCUGCCCGGUGCCGGAAGGUUAAUUGAUGGGGUCAGCGCAAGCGAAGCUCUUGAUCGAAGCCCCGGUAAACGGCGGCCGUAACUAUAACGGUCCUAAGGUAGCGAAAUUCCUUGUCGGGUAAGUUCCGACCUGCACGAAUGGCGUAAUGAUGGCCAGGCUGUCUCCACCCGAGACUCAGUGAAAUUGAACUCGCUGUGAAGAUGCAGUGUACCCGCGGCAAGACGGAAAGACCCCGUGAACCUUUACUAUAGCUUGACACUGAACAUUGAGCCUUGAUGUGUAGGAUAGGUGGGAGGCUUUGAAGUGUGGACGCCAGUCUGCAUGGAGCCGACCUUGAAAUACCACCCUUUAAUGUUUGAUGUUCUAACGUUGACCCGUGAUCCGGGUUGCGGACAGUGUCUGGUGGGUAGUUUGACUGGGGCGGUCUCCUCCUAAAGAGUAACGGAGGAGCACGAAGGUUGGCUAAUCCUGGUCGGACAUCAGGAGGUUAGUGCAAUGGCAUAAGCCAGCUUGACUGCGAGCGUGACGGCGCGAGCAGGUGCGAAAGCAGGUCAUAGUGAUCCGGUGGUUCUGAAUGGAAGGGCCAUCGCUCAACGGAUAAAAGGUACUCCGGGGAUAACAGGCUGAUACCGCCCAAGAGUUCAUAUCGACGGCGGUGUUUGGCACCUCGAUGUCGGCUCAUCACAUCCUGGGGCUGAAGUAGGUCCCAAGGGUAUGGCUGUUCGCCAUUUAAAGUGGUACGCGAGCUGGGUUUAGAACGUCGUGAGACAGUUCGGUCCCUAUCUGCCGUGGGCGCUGGAGAACUGAGGGGGGCUGCUCCUAGUACGAGAGGACCGGAGUGGACGCAUCACUGGUGUUCGGGUUGUCAUGCCAAUGGCACUGCCCGGUAGCUAAAUGCGGAAGAGAUAAGUGCUGAAAGCAUCUAAGCACGAAACUUGCCCCGAGAUGAGUUCUCCCUGACUCCUUGAGAGUCCUGAAGGAACGUUGAAGACGACGACGUUGAUAGGCCGGGUGUGUAAGCGCAGCGAUGCGUUGAGCUAACCGGUACUAAUGAACCGUGAGGCUUAACCUUACAACGCCGAAGCUGUU